Long non-coding RNA from Calidris pugnax (ruff), 2024 nucleotides. RefSeq lists it as uncharacterized. The transcript is spliced from 3 exons. NCBI's taxonomy places the organism in Eukaryota, Metazoa, Chordata, Aves, Charadriiformes, Scolopacidae. The record is from RefSeq and is a predicted model, not a curated record.
AAAAAAGUAUUUGGUUGGAGUUCUGAGCUGGUUUAAAAUGCACUGCUGAGAUGGCUAACAGAACAAACUCCUCUGAGUAUUUUUGGUCGUAUGAAUAUUAUUGGGAUUAUAUAGAUCCAAUUCCAGUAGAUGGAAGCAAGUUGGAGGUUAAUAAAUAUUCUAUUGUCAUAGCCUUUUGGGUUGGGCUUGCUGCGUUUGUGACGUUUCUUUUCCUUAUUUUACUGUAUAUGUCCCGCUCUGGAUCAACUCCAGUAAAACAGGUGAUUGUAGGGAACCAGGUGGAAGAAAGAAGUUCCAACAGUGAACAGCUUCACUGCAAUGAUCUCAGCAGUCCAUACGCAGAUGUGGUUGCUUCUGAAACGUCUACCUCCCUUUCAGAUGAAACUGGCAUUCAGGGAAGGAUCUGAGCCCAAGUUAAAACUGAAAGAGGUGACACAAACCCAGCAGUACAUUCCUCCUGACCGCAGAGAAAAGCUCAGUGCUGUGACUGCCUAUGAAACGCUGACGCCACAAACCUGAAUUAGUUCAGAAGAAGAAAGAGAAAAAUGUCUUUCAACAAUGGCCAAACGUGAAAAGUCCUGGAUGCAUAAAAGGAAUUUGCAAUGGCCGCAUUUGAGACACGUUGCUGGCGUUGCCUGCUAGAAGAGCAAUUUAGAUCCUGAUGAUGAUGACUGUAGAAUUUCUCUUACCUUCUUUAUGUAAGGAUUCAGACUCAAAUUCCUCUCUGUUACACGGUGCAAAAGGUGUGCUGCCGGUUGAGUGGGUCUCAUUAAGACUCAUUUGGCUGAGAGCUGAUAUUUACUCCUUCAGUAGAAAGUCUAUACCAGUUACACCCCGAGUCCUUCAGCUUUGCUCACCUGAGUGCACACUGACUCCUGUUGUCCUCGGGGCAGGGGGUCUGUGCAGCACCAGUUUUCACUGGGUUGUCUUGCUGUGAAAGAAAGCAGCAUCCCAUUCAUCUUACUCAACCGGCAGCGUAACCAAGAUUGUCUGUAUCUAUCAUGAGACCCACAAGUCAUCUAUUUCUGGCUCUGUCUCAGGUCACGCUCUCAUCAGCUGCAUCUUAGUGACACCUCCACUUGGUCACCUGCUGAAAAAUAAGCAACAAUGUCAACUGCAACAUCAACAAUAAAACUGUGCUUCUAGAAGGGUUACAACUUACUUCGCUAAAGCUUAAAGCUCAGCAGUUCCCUCAAGGAUAGAACAUACUUUUUAUUUACUUUUCUAUUGCAAGAAAGUAUUUGGGUCACUUAAAAUUUAUAAAAACACUCUUUACCUAGAACAGCCUUUAAAAAGCUAAUGGCAGCACUAUCUCAAGUGAGUGUCUUACUGAAUCAACUCACUAGUUUUACCAGCUGCCCAGAAAUACAGUUUUGCUUUCUUUUUGAAAUGGUAGGUGGAAAAGAAACUGUUAAUAUUGAACAGUCUUGAAAUGGUACCUGGCAGAUACCCAGGCAUUACUAAAAAGAUAAGUCUGUUUAUCAUAUUUUGUAUCAAAGAGAAAUGCUGGCAAAGCCACAAAAGCAACGUCGCAUUUCUGCAUGAGUUGCCUGCUUUUAGCUGGGGCUGACAAACAGUCCAACAGAAGCUACAGCCCUCCUUGAGGGUCACAGCAGCUUUUCAGUGAGGUGGAGAGGAUGGGUUUAGGUUUAGCUCAGCUGGAGCAGAGUCAGAAGGGCCACUCACACUCCUUCCCUCUUCAGUGGCCUCUGCUCUCUCCAAUUCUCCUCACCUGUGGAGCUCCACCAGACCCAGGCAGAACCAGGCAAAGGUCCACAAGAAGGUGAAGAACCCUUAGAGCUCCAGUAAGCACAAAAGUGGGACUGCAGAGUCAGGCCCAGGAAGGCAGUGAGGGCUGGAAUGGACGUGAGAGCGCACAGGUAGUUGGUGGGCUGAGGACAACACAAAAUUCAUUUGAAACUUCAGAAGAAGCUUAGAAAUUCCAUGUCCCCAAGCAGGCAGCAGAACCUCCUACAGCCAAGCGCUGCCAGAGCAGCCUUAUGCUGCGUGCAGGGAGUGUGGGC